Molecule: ribosomal RNA, 474 nt
Filed under: uncultured bacterium
Lineage: Bacteria
Description: bacterial SSU rRNA
Rfam family: Bacterial small subunit ribosomal RNA
Source: RNAcentral
UGGGGAAUUGUUCGCAAUGGGCGCAAGCCUGACGACGCAACGCCGCGUGGAGGAUGAAGACCUUCGGGUCGUAAACUCCUUUCGAUCGAGACGAAUGGCCUCCGGGUGAACAAUCCGGAGGAGUGACGGUACCGAGAGAAGAAGCCCCGGCCAACUACGUGCCAGCAGCCGCGGUAAGACGUAGGGGGCGAGCGUUGUCCGGAUUUAUUGGGCGUAAAGAGCUCGUAGGCGGUUGCGUAAGUCGGAUGUGAAAACUCAGGGCUCAACCCUGAGACGCCAUCCGAUACUGCGCUGACUUGAAUCCAGUAGGGGAGUGCGGAAUUCCUGGUAUAGCGGUGAAAUGCGCAGAUAUCAGGAGGAACACCCAUGGCGAAGGCAGCACUCUGGGCUGGUAUUGACGCUGAGGAGCGAAAGCAUGGGUAGCGAACAGGAUUAGAUACCCAUGUAGUCCCUGAGCGGGCUGGCAAGGCGCAU